AAAACGGCCCUUUUUAGGGCCACCAAAGAAUUAUAAACGUACAAU
This 45-nucleotide non-coding RNA is filed under the name Paramuricea clavata. It matches the Rfam family "Histone 3' UTR stem-loop". Rfam says of the family: The mRNAs of metazoan histone genes lack a poly-A tail. 3' end processing occurs at a site between a highly conserved stem-loop (modelled by this family) and a purine rich region around 20 nts downstream (the histone downstream element, or HDE). Lineage: Eukaryota; Metazoa; Cnidaria; Anthozoa; Malacalcyonacea; Plexauridae. The record is from RNAcentral.